UGCAAAUGUACUUAAAUCCAGUAUAUAUGCACACACGCAGGUAAACAGUUGAAUUAGGGUUUUUUCUCUAGAGCCACAUGAGCUCCAAAAUUAUUCAUAUUAGCCGUCUCUAAAUUGUUCUUUCUCAGACACACAAUAUCGCCCAUCGAUUCCUGCAAACCCAAAUCGGAAAAAUUUAUGCCACCCUGCUCCGAUCCACUUCUUCUGAACCAUCGAAAUCGAAAUCGAAAUUAUACCAUACAGUUCCUUGUAAAAUUGUUUUCUGAAAUGAAAAUAAUAAUUAUUCGAUCUGAUGUCAACGAUACGAUUGAGUACGUUCUUGAUUUGAUCCAAUCGAAAUCUGGAAUUCCAUUGAACCAGCAGCUGUUAAUUUAUAAGAGCAAGCAGCUUUACCAGGAGCAAACCCUAGGGCAACGUUGUGGUGAAAAUGAUGCUGUGUUCAUUAAUUUGGAGAUUGUGUAAACAGAAUUCGGGGAGUGAAGCUUGGGACAGAGAAGCACGUCGCCUGAUCUGAAGAAACCUAACUGAUUAUUUCAGUGAUUUGCUGCGAGUGAUGAUGAUAUGGCUACAGGGCAUUUCCAGGUAUUUUCGUAUUCUGAUGCACCAGUUGCUUCAUUGAUACUAAUUUUUUAGAUCCCCAUUUUCUUGUCAUGGUUAUUUAGAUUUUAGAAUAUCAGUUGAAUUUUCAUCAUUAGUAUAUUAAUUAUUAGUGUUUCAGCCUCAUCGUGUGCAAUGUACUCAAAAGAAUCCUCCAGCAAUCGUGAUCUAUAGAUAAGCAUCUCUAGGAUCAGUACCUCAUCACUAACUUGUGGAAGUAACAUCAUUGCCAAAUGCCUUCUGCACUCAGAAUUAUCACCUCCUUAUGCUCCAAAAUCCAACUAUAAUCUUCAUCCAUCGUAGCAUAUUUAAUAAUUAAAUAGCAGAAAGAAAGAUUCCUCUUCCUUAAGGUUUUCCAAAAUUGUCUAGCUAGGGCUGGAAAGUGCUUAGACAUGUUAUUCAGUUCCACUAUGAUGGCAACAUACUGGUAGCACCCAAGAUUUUCACUCUUUGUCGACAAUAACUUCUCCAGUUCUUCAAGACAAUAAUCCAUCUUAUUCAACAGCCUAAAGAAAGUCUGAACCAUGAUACCAAAUUCUUGAUAAGGACCCCUGUGAGAGACCUUUCUGUAACCAAACUCAAGAAAAUUCUUGAAAUAUCAUGGUCACACAAAGGUCUCUCGGAAUGGGCUGAUGAAGAAUUUAAUAUCAUGGUUCAGACUUUCUUUAGGCCGUUGAAUAAGAUGGAUUGUUGUCUUGAAGAACGGGAGAAGUUUUUUCCCACAAAGAGUGAAAAUCUUGGGUGCUACCAGUAUGUUGCAAUCAUAAUGAAACUGAGUAACAUGUCUAAGCACUUCCCAGCCUUAGCAGGACAAUUUUGGACAACUUUGAGGAAUAGGAAGCUUUCUUUCCGCUAUUUAAUUAUUAAAUUUGCUAGCAAGGAUGAUGAUUAUGGAUGGAUUUCGGAGCAUAAAGAGGUGACUACUUUUGAGUGCAGAAGGCAUUUGGCAAUGAUGUUACUUUCACGAGUUAGUGAUGAGGAUAACAGUCUGAUCCUAGAGAUGCUUAUCGACAAAUCACGAUUUUUGGAGGAUUCUUUUGAGUACAUUGCACAUGCUGAGGUUGAAACACUUCAAGCUAGUUUACAUUUGCAGUUUAAAGAUGAGGAAGCUACUGGCCCCGGUGUUCUGAGGGAGUGGGUUAUCUUAGUUUGUCAAGCCAUAUUUGACCCUCGAAAUGCCCUCUUUGUAGCUUGUCCAAAUGAUCGUAGAAGGUUUUUUCCGAAUCCAGGUAAGCUUGGUGCUUCUGUCAUUCUACUUUGCCCUAUGUAUGAUUUCGUAGAAGUUAUAUAUUGUUUACGUUCCUAUCGGUAAAAUGCUGCCAUGUUUGAUAUAGUGAUUUCUUUCAACAUCAGUAUUUCAAGAAUUUAUACAUUGAAGGUGGUCAACUGAGAUUACCUCACCGAGUUAAUUUCAUAAAACUGAUAGUCUGGAUUGGGGGGAACACAGCCACCCCAUACUUCCCUUGAAUCCCUCCCUUUGUCCUCAGAUAAAUUCAAAUUCCAAAAUUAAUGACUAGGGUGGAUCCAAUCCACCUAGAAUACUUCAAGUUUGCUGGAAGAGUAGUUGCAUUGGCUUUAAUUCCCAAAGUUCAGGUUGGCAUUGUCUCUGAUAGAGUAUUAUUUUUACAACUGGCCGGAAAGAAAGUUCCUGUGGAAGACAUACGGGAUAUAGAUCCAGUCUUCUACACUAGUUGCAAGCGAAUAUUCGAAAUGGAUCCAGAGGAAGUUGAUCAAGAUGCUCUAGCUUUAACAUUUAUUGUCGAAACCGACAACUUUGGUUCCAAGACUAUUGAGCUCUGCCCUGAUGGAUUCUUUUUUUCCGGUGAAUAGUUAAAAUAGAGUAAACUAUGUUGCCCGGCUUCUUUAAUAUCACUUUGUUGAUUCUGUUAAGGAUCAGGUAGCUCAGUUUGCUCAAGGGUUUGACGAUAUCAUGAAUUUGGACAGGCUCCGGGAAUCAUUUUUUCAAUGCUUAGAACUUGAAGAUUUUGAUUGGAUGCUGUAUGGCAGUGCAUGAAAGAACUCUAAACUGUGGUGAGUCGUGAGUAUAUGUCAGCAGGACACAGGAAAGCUCUCCUAUUCUUUUGGACGUCGCUGAAGAAUCUACCUGUAGAAGGUUUUGGUUAUACAUUUACAAGGUUGUGUUUUCUUCCUUAAUUACCAGUCGGUGGAAGUCAUGCAAGAUGGUCUAAGCCUCAUUACCCAGGAUACAUUAUCUGUCGGGAUGUCAAUUCUCUUGGUGGCACGUACAAAAAUUAAUACAAGCAUUACAUAAUAUA
Molecule: RNA transcript, 2873 nt
Organism: Daucus carota subsp. sativus
Lineage: Eukaryota; Viridiplantae; Streptophyta; Magnoliopsida; Apiales; Apiaceae
Gene name: E3 ubiquitin-protein ligase UPL5-like
Exons: 2
Source: RefSeq, a predicted model, not a curated record